Molecule: ribosomal RNA, 205 nt
Filed under: uncultured bacterium
Lineage: Bacteria
Description: partial 16S ribosomal RNA
Rfam family: Bacterial small subunit ribosomal RNA
Source: RNAcentral
GAUGAACGCUGGCGGCGUGCCUAACACAUGCAAGUCGAACGGCCCGCAAGGGCAGUGGCAAACGGGUGCGUAACACGUAGGCAUCUACCGCAUAGCUGGGGACAACGAGUGGAAACGGUCGCUAAUACCCGAUGUGCUCUGAGGAGCAAAGUCUAACGACGCUAUGCGAGGAGCCUGCGGCCUAUCAGGUCGUUGGUGAGGUCAC